GCACCACAAGGGGUGGAACCUGCGGUUCAAUUGGAUUCAACGCCGGACAACUCACCAGGGCGACAGUUGGUUGAAGGCCAGGUUGACGACUUUGCUGGACUAGCUGAGAGGUGGUGCAUGGCCAUCGUCAGCUCGUACCGUGAGGCGUCCUGUUAAGUCAGGCAACGAGCGAGAUCCUCGCCCCUAGUUGCCAUCGGUGGGAAGCCGGGCACUCUAGGGGGACCGCUGGCGCUAAGUCAGAGGAAGGAGAGGGCGACGGUAGGUCAGUAUGCCCCGAAUCCCCUGGGCUACACGCGGGUUACAAUGCGCAGGACAAUGAGAUGCAACCCCGUAAGGGGGAGCCAAGCCCCUAAACCUGCGCUCGGUUCGGAUCGAGGGCUGUAACUCGCCCUCGUGAAGCUGGAAUCCCUAGUAAUCGCGUGCCAACACCGCGCGGUGAAUGCGUCCCUGCUCCUUGCACACACCGCCCGUCAAGCCACUCGAGUGGGGUCCGGAUGAGGUCAGUUCAAGUUGGACUGCUCGAAUCCGAGUUCUGCAAGAGGGGCU
This 546-nucleotide ribosomal RNA is filed under the name uncultured archaeon. Its description in RNAcentral is "bacterial SSU rRNA". It matches the Rfam family "Archaeal small subunit ribosomal RNA", at positions 876 to 1429 of the family's 1478-position model. The record is from RNAcentral.